AUUGAACGCUGGCGGCAUGCCUUACACAUGCAAGUCGAACGGCAGCGCGGGAGCAAUCCUGGCGGCGAGUGGCGAACGGGUGAGUAAUACAUCGGAACGUGCCCAAUCGUGGGGGAUAACGCAGCGAAAGCUGUGCUAAUACGGCAUAGGAUCUACGGAUGAAAGCAGGGGAUGGCAAGACAUUGCGCGAAGGGAGCGGCCGAUGGCAGAUUAGGUAGUUGGUGAGGUAAAGGCUCACCAAGCCUUCGAUCUGUAGCUGGUCUGAGAGGACGACCAGCCACACUGGGACUGAGACACGGCCCAGACUCCUACGGGAGGCAGCAGUGGGGAAUUUUGGACAAUGGGCGAAAGCCUGAUCCAGCCAUGCCGCGUGCAGGAUGAAAGCCUUCGGGUUGUAAACUGCUUUUGUACGGAACGAAACGGUCUUUUCUAAUAAAGAAGGCUAAUGACGGUACCGUAAGAAUAAGCACCGGCUAACUACGUG
Molecule: ribosomal RNA, 484 nt
Filed under: uncultured bacterium
Lineage: Bacteria
Description: partial 16S ribosomal RNA
Rfam family: Bacterial small subunit ribosomal RNA
Source: RNAcentral